This 886-nucleotide long non-coding RNA is filed under the name Solanum tuberosum (potato). RNAcentral describes it as "long non-coding RNA (STUB_LNC008898)". Lineage: Eukaryota; Viridiplantae; Streptophyta; Magnoliopsida; Solanales; Solanaceae. The record is from RNAcentral.
AUUAAAAGAAUCAAAAUAGGAAACACAAAAAAAAACUUUCUUUUCAGGUGGUUCAAUCACACUAAUACAGAAAAGAGAAAAAAAUCUUCCUUUUUUUCUUUUUUAUCUUCUUCAUCUUCCUUUCCUUUCUCAUCUCCCACGUUCAACUUUAAAACAAAUAUAUAGAGAGAGAAAUGAAAACAAAAAUUGAAAAGAAAUCAACAAGAAAGGUCUUUUCUUUGUAUUUCAUAUUCUUUAACCCUAUAUUCACAUAAUCACUAGUUGAUCUUUAAUGAAUAUGUAGAUCUAACUUUUAUUGGCUAUGUUUUAUUAUCAUUUUUCACACUCUGUGGUUCAGUAAUUGACCAGAGACUAUACCAUAUAAGGCCUAAUCACAACUUAGUCUUCUUUUUUAUUUUUUCUUUAUUUAGGAGACCAAUUGUUAAAGAUAUGAACUUGAUAUUGUUUUUAUGGUUUUAUGUUCUUUUGUUCAUUUUGCACUUAUAAUUUUACUGGAUUGUAGUUUUUACAUUAUGUUUUAAUAGUUAGCAGUUUCAUGAAUGAUGAGUUUAUGUUGCCAUAUAGAGUAGUUUGUGAUGAUAUACUUCAUAAACUUUCACUUAUGUUAAAUUUGUAAUGAUAAAAUUUAUAUUGUAAAUUAAAAAUUACUUAUAAAACUGGGCAUUACAACAUAUGAAAGACAAAUUGUGUUACAUAUUUUACUUUUGACUCUAAUAUGAAUAUCUCAAUUUAAAUAUUUAUUUUAUUUUCUCUUUCUUUUUACAUGUAUAAAAGGUGAGAAUUGAAGCAAGAUUGAUUGCAAGCUAUGUGUCACCACAUUAUUGAUACUUUGGAAGGAAUUUUUACUUAUAUGUCUUUGUUUAGGAGUAAUAUUUUGAUAUAUUUU